UACGGAGGGAGCUAGCGUUGUUCGGAAUUACUGGGCGUAAAGCGCACGUAGGCGGCUUUGUAAGUUAGAGGUGAAAGCCCGGGGCUUAACUCCGGAACUGCCUUUAAGACUGCAUCGCUUGAAUCCGGGAGAGGUGAGUGGAAUUCCGAGUGUAGAGGUGAAAUUCGUAGAUAUUCGGAAGAACACCAGUGGCGAAGGCGGCUCACUGGACCGGCAUUGACGCUGAGGUGCGAAAGCGUGGGGAGCAAACAGG
RNAcentral lists this ribosomal RNA (253 nucleotides) under uncultured bacterium. Its description in RNAcentral is "partial 16S ribosomal RNA". It matches the Rfam family "Bacterial small subunit ribosomal RNA", at positions 524 to 776 of the family's 1533-position model. The record is from RNAcentral.